This 462-nucleotide ribosomal RNA is filed under the name uncultured bacterium. Its description in RNAcentral is "bacterial SSU rRNA". It matches the Rfam family "Bacterial small subunit ribosomal RNA", at positions 26 to 507 of the family's 1533-position model. The record is from RNAcentral.
AGGACGAACGCUGGCGGCGUGCUUAACACAUGCAAGUCGAACGGUAAGGCCCUUCGGGGUACACGAGUGGCGAACGGGUGAGUAACACUGGGUGAUCUGCCCUGCACUUCGGGAUAAGCCUGGGAAACUGGGUCUAAUACCGGAUAGGACCAUGGACUUCACGGUUUGUGGUGGAAAGCUUUUGCGGUGUGGGAUGGGGCCCGCGGCCUAUCAGCUUGUUGGUGGGGUAAUGGCCUACCAAGGCGACGACGGUAGCCGGCCUGAGAGGGUGUCCGGCCACACUGGGACUGAGAUACGGCCCAGACUCCUACGGGAGGCAGCAGUGGGAAUAUUGCACAAUGGGCGCAAGCCUGAUGCAGCGACGCCGCGUGAGGGAUGACGGCCUUCGGGUUGUAAACCUCUUUCAAUAGGGACGAAGCGCAAGUGACGGUACCUAUAGAAGAAGCACCGGCCAACUACGUG